GACAGAGGCCUCGAGCGUUAGGCGGAAUCACUGGGCUUAAAGCGUGUGUAGGCGGAUCGUUAAGUGCGUUGUGAAAUCCCACGGCCUAACUGUGGAACGGCUGGGCAUACUGGCGGUCUUGAGCCAUCUAGGGGCGACUGGAACAAACGGUGGAGCGGUGAAAUGCGUAGAUAUCGUUUGGAACGCCAAUGGUGAAAACAGGUCGCUGGGGAUGUGCUGACGCUGAGACACGAAAGCCAGGGGAGCAAGCGGG
RNAcentral lists this ribosomal RNA (253 nucleotides) under uncultured bacterium. Its description in RNAcentral is "partial 16S ribosomal RNA". It matches the Rfam family "Bacterial small subunit ribosomal RNA", at positions 524 to 776 of the family's 1533-position model. The record is from RNAcentral.